This 88-nucleotide transfer RNA is filed under the name Anaerococcus vaginalis ATCC 51170. It matches the Rfam family "tRNA". Rfam says of the family: Transfer RNA (tRNA) molecules are approximately 80 nucleotides in length. Their secondary structure includes four short double-helical elements and three loops (D, anti-codon, and T loops). Lineage: Bacteria; Bacillati; Bacillota; Tissierellia; Tissierellales; Peptoniphilaceae. The record is from Rfam by way of RNAcentral.
GGAGAGGUACCGAAGCGGUCAUAACGGGGCGGUCUUGAAAACCGUUAGAGUCUUACGGCUCACAAGGGUUCGAAUCCCUUCCUCUCCG